This is a long non-coding RNA of Bufo bufo (common toad), 453 nucleotides long. RefSeq lists it as uncharacterized. The transcript is spliced from 4 exons. The record is from RefSeq and is a predicted model, not a curated record. Lineage: Eukaryota; Metazoa; Chordata; Amphibia; Anura; Bufonidae.
CGGCGUUGAGCAGCGGGACGGUGUGUGCUUGCAAAGCGUGAUGCAGCAGAGACAAGAGGCAUCCGCAUCUUCUUCUGGUGUCCGGAGUGCUGCUCCAGCGGGUGUUUCAGACAUUCCGACAGUUGGCGGAAGGGGCCGAUCUGAAAGGGGAAUCGUGCCCUGCGUACCUGUGGAAUCUGAUUUGGUCCUAGAUGGAUCAGUCAGGUAAGGGUACCUGGAUCCGUGUGAACAGAGUUGGGUCGGGUGGUAUUUGUCCGUUUUCACAGGUCUCACCGUAUGGAUUAUCGGCCAUUCUUUCGUAUAUUGGGCCCAUCGCAGAGCUGUAAAAAGAUCGUACGGUGAUAACCUCUCUUGGUCCACAGAUACGGUUCGAAUAUACUGGAAUGGAGUCAGGGGUCUUCGUUGGGAAGGUUUGAUGGAUGUACUGUUGGAAAUGUGUGAUUUAUACCCUGA